CACGUAGGGCGCGAGCGUUGUCCGGAAUUAUUGGGCGUAAAGAGCUUGUAGGUGGCUCGUUGCGUCGGGAGUGAAAACCUGCGGCUUAACCGCAGGCCUGCUUCCGAUACGGGCGAGCUAGAGUUCGGCAGGGGAGACUGGAAUUCCUGGUGUAGCGGUGGAAUGCGCAGAUAUCAGGAGGAACACCGGUGGCGAAGGCGGGUCUCUGGGCCGAUACUGACACUGAGAAGCGAAAGCGUGGGGAGCGAACAGG
Molecule: ribosomal RNA, 253 nt
Filed under: uncultured bacterium
Lineage: Bacteria
Description: partial 16S ribosomal RNA
Rfam family: Bacterial small subunit ribosomal RNA
Source: RNAcentral